This 762-nucleotide ribosomal RNA is filed under the name Triticum aestivum (bread wheat). RNAcentral's name for it is "partial small subunit ribosomal RNA". The record is from RNAcentral. Lineage: Eukaryota; Viridiplantae; Streptophyta; Magnoliopsida; Poales; Poaceae.
AUGGGCCCUCUUGUGGUAGACCCACAUGUCAUCGGUGUAACUAUUUACACUCCGGAGGACGAUGCCUAUAUACUGGUAGUAGUACUAGUAGAAUUGAGAUUUAAUGUACUUUCUUCCUCGUCUUCCACUCUUCUUCCUCCUCUCUUCCCCAUCGUCGGCCGCACACCAUUUACCCCCGCUCACUGCUCGCCCGCCCGUGCCAUCUUCCUUGGUAGCUCGCACGACCUGGAAUCAUACCAGCCGAUGGGUGCUGGUUUAUCGCUCGUUCAGCUGACGGAGUCGAAGAAGGAUUGGCCGGUGCUGCCGGCUGGUGUCAAGUUUGAUCCCACGGAUCAGGAGCUGAUCGAGCACCUUGAGGCCAAAGUGAGUGUUGACAGCGCGAGAUUUCAGUCUCUCAUCGAUUUGUUCAUACCAACCAUCGACAGUGAGCACAGCAUGUGCUACACCCAACCUGAGAAACUUCCAACAAAAAAGGUUCUGGUGCUGCACACCAACAAGAACUUCGACCAGCAGAGGACCAACUGGGUGAUGCACCAGUACCACAUCGGGGACCUGGAGCAAGAGAAGGAGCGGGAGCUGGUCCUCUGUAAGAUUUUCUACCAGACGAACACUAGGGCCAGGAGUAGUUUGGUAUUGGUAGUUGUACUGCCUUGUCGUCCGCAAGUUGGUAUUGUUGUUAACGAUCUUUUGGCCCAGCCCAUGACGACAACGGGGCACAAAGAUCCAGCAGGUAUCUACUGGCCUCUGGCCUGCCAGCGUUAG